RNAcentral lists this long non-coding RNA (257 nucleotides) under Apteryx rowi (Okarito brown kiwi). RNAcentral's name for it is "lncRNA (ENSARWG00000016645.1)". Lineage: Eukaryota; Metazoa; Chordata; Aves; Apterygiformes; Apterygidae. The record is from RNAcentral.
UAAUUAUCUUGCUAAGUGAGCAUCAAAAUGGAGAGACUAAAGGCUGGGACUAACAUAUGGCCGCAACUCUGAGGUUAGCUUUCCCUCUGUUUCAGGAAGCUCCCAGUAAGCGGAAAGCAAACGCCUGCUUGGCAGCCGUGUGGAGAAGGAACCACUCCAAGUGGCAGUAGCCCCAUUUCUGAUGAUCGCAGGACAUCCGCAGAGGAAUGAGCUCAUGUGUCCCCUUCAGCAACGCCAAGCAGUGAAAUGGGAAGCCU